CUUGCAUCUUGAUUUAAUUUUGAACGAGUGGCGGACGGGUGAGUAACACGUGGGUAACCUGCCCUUAAGUGGGGGAUAACAUUUGGAAACAGAUGCUAAUACCGCAUAAAUCCAAGAACCGCAUGGUUCUUGGCUGAAAGAUGGCGUAAGCUAUCGCUUUUGGAUGGACCCGCGGCGUAUUAGCUAGUUGGUGAGGUAACGGCUCACCAAGGCAAUGAUACGUAGCCGAACUGAGAGGUUGAUCGGCCACAUUGGGACUGAGACACGGCCCAAACUCCUACGGGAGGCAGCAGUAGGGAAUCUUCCACAAUGGACGCAAGUCUGAUGGAGCAACGCCGCGUGAGUGAAGAAGGCUUUCGGGUCGUAAAACUCUGUUGUUGGAGAAGAAUGGUCGGCAGAGUAACUGUUGUCGGCGUGACGGUAUCCAACCAGAAAGCCACGGCUAACUACGUGCCAGCAGCCGCGGUAAUACGUAGGUGGCAAGCGUUAUCCGGAUUUAUUGGGCGUAAAGCGAGCGCAGGCGGUUUUUUAAGUCUGAUGUGAAAGCCCUCGGCUUAACCGAGGAAGUGCAUCGGAAACUGGGAAACUUGAGUGCAGAAGAGGACAGUGGAACUCCAUGUGUAGCGGUGAAAUGCGUAGAUAUAUGGAAGAACACCAGUGGCGAAGGCGGCUGUCUGGUCUGUAACUGACGCUGAGGCUCGAAAGCAUGGGUAGCGAACAGGAUUAGAUACCCUGGUAGUCCAUGCCGUAAACGAUGAAUGCUAGGUGUUGGAGGGUUUCCGCCCUUCAGUGCCGCAGCUAACGCAUUAAGCAUUCCGCCUGGGGAGUACGACCGCAAGGUUGAAACUCAAAGGAAUUGACGGGGGCCCGCACAAGCGGUGGAGCAUGUGGUUUAAUUCGAAGCAACGCGAAGAACCUUACCAGGUCUUGACAUCUUUUGAUCA
Molecule: ribosomal RNA, 944 nt
Filed under: Lacticaseibacillus rhamnosus
Lineage: Bacteria; Bacillati; Bacillota; Bacilli; Lactobacillales; Lactobacillaceae
Description: bacterial SSU rRNA
Rfam family: Bacterial small subunit ribosomal RNA
Source: RNAcentral